RNAcentral lists this non-coding RNA (96 nucleotides) under uncultured Ruminococcus sp. Its description in RNAcentral is "THF riboswitch". It matches the Rfam family "THF (Tetrahydrofolate) riboswitch aptamer". From Rfam's summary of the family: THF riboswitch presents a pseudoknot that joins P1-P2 and the loop of P3 and two THF binding. The record is from RNAcentral. Lineage: Bacteria; Bacillati; Bacillota; Clostridia; Eubacteriales; Oscillospiraceae.
AGAGUAAAAAUGCGUUCGUCAAGUGACGGUUGAACGGGGAGUUGUCAACCGGACGAAAAGUCUUAAUGACUUGCGGUUCGCAUUUUGCAUCCCGCU